This is a long non-coding RNA of Gopherus flavomarginatus (Mexican gopher tortoise), 1562 nucleotides long. RefSeq lists it as uncharacterized. The transcript has 3 exons. The record is from RefSeq and is a predicted model, not a curated record. NCBI's taxonomy places the organism in Eukaryota, Metazoa, Chordata, Testudines, Testudinidae.
CACACAGCUAUAUACACAUACAUACAGACAGAUAUAAACGGUAAUUGUAACUCUGGUUCAACUUCAGCAUCACCUCACAACACGGUGAUGAAGUACUACAGAAGGGAGGAGCUAUCUCCCCAACCAUAGGAGACUGGUUUCAAGCAUCUUGAAUGGUCUUGAUCUAGAGAUCUUGAUCUGUUUUAUCUUGCAUUUAGCUGUGCCAUUCUGAGUACCUUUCUCAGAUCUGAGGCAGGGCUCUGUGUAGCUCGAAAGCCUGCCUCUCUCACCAACAGAAGUUGGUCCAAUAAAAGAUAUUACCUCAUCCACCUUGUCCUCUCUCUGCAACUGACAUGGCUACUACACUGCAUAUACCAGGCCCUUGUCCAGCCCAGGAGUAAACAAUGAGGAAUCAUCAAAGCAAAUGGGAACAGCUUGAAACUGAAAAGAAACUCCAGUCUUCAGAAACUAAGACAGGAGAGAGUUUUCUCCACUUUGAAUAUCUGUAAUGACUGAAGAAAAAAACUGCCACCCCUUUUAAAAUGGAAGGAGUUUGUACUGAAGAUCAUCCAGAAUUUGAAGGAUUGUCUGGAUCCCUCCUACAGCAGGUGCCCGGUGUGCGAACUGUGUGGAGUGUGUAUGCCAUAGUGAGCUAACUGGAAGAAUGGUUUCAUGACUUCAGGGGUUAUGAACCAGAGGGGAACAGUCCAAGCACCUGAUAAUUCAGAACUCAGGGAGGAUUUAUUUGGAGAGACUUGGGACCAGAGGGCUGCUGUUAUCGUCUCUGCAAAGAAUAACUACACUGGUGAAAGCCAAGGGACUGGGAGUGGCUUUCUCACUACAGAAGCAGCUUUGCCUCUCCUGAAAUUGACACCUCCUCAUCUAUUAUUGGGAGUGGACUACAUCCGUCCUGAUUGAAUUGGCUUUGUCAACACUGGUUCUCCACUUGUGAGGUACUCCCUUCUCUUCACAUGUCAUUACAUAAUGCCUAUAUUUGUAACUUUCACUCCAUGCAUCUGAAGAAAUGAGGUUUUUUACCCAUGAAAGCUUAUGUCCAAAUAAAUCUGUUAGUCUUUAAGGUGCCACCGGACUCCUUGUUGUUUUUGUGGCUACAGACUAACACGGCUACGCCCGGAUUACUAGUCUGUCUGAUAGUUAUUUACAGACAUAGGACAAACAAAUGCAUCCUCGUCUUAAAAUUGUUUUUAAAAAAAAUCCUAUAUGGAAGUUUAAACACUGAGCCUUAUUCAAUAAAUAUUAUACACAGCCCUCCCAACCAUGCAAAGCCUGGCAAAGCCAGAGGCAAAACCCCUAGAUUGAAAUCCUGGCUCCAGUGAAGCCAAUGGCAAAACUCCCACAGACUUCAUGGGACCAUCCCUAAUCUUCAAGAGAGAAUUAAGGUCAUUUGCCAUGCACCCCAACUCCUGACUAUCUCUUGGGCUGGAUAUGUACAAGAAUGCAAAACUGCCAGUAUAUCAUUGCAGUGUUGUGGCUGAUUUUAAAAGCACAAACUAGCUGAAACUUAAAGCUUCAAUUCCCAGAGUAAUACAUCCCUUUGUAGAGAUGCAAUACUGUUUAUUCUA